UAUAAAACAGAAGGCUAAAAGGUGGAAC
This 28-nucleotide non-coding RNA is filed under the name Mus musculus (house mouse). Lineage: Eukaryota; Metazoa; Chordata; Mammalia; Rodentia; Muridae. The record is from RNAcentral.